UCCCUGGUAGCUCAGAUGGUAAAGAAUCUGACUGCAAUGCAGAAGACCUGGGUUCGAUUCCUGGGUUGGGAA
This 72-nucleotide transfer RNA is filed under the name Bos taurus (domestic cattle). It matches the Rfam family "tRNA". Rfam says of the family: Transfer RNA (tRNA) molecules are approximately 80 nucleotides in length. Their secondary structure includes four short double-helical elements and three loops (D, anti-codon, and T loops). Further hydrogen bonds mediate the characteristic L-shaped molecular structure. tRNAs have two regions of fundamental functional importance: the anti-codon, which is responsible for specific mRNA codon recognition, and the 3' end, to which the tRNAs corresponding amino acid is attached (by aminoacyl-tRNA synthetases). tRNAs cope with the degeneracy of the genetic code in two manners: having more than one tRNA (with a specific anti-codon) for a particular amino acid; and 'wobble' base-pairing, i.e. permitting non-standard base-pairing at the 3rd anti-codon position. RNAcentral also lists the same sequence under 3 other names. The record is from Rfam by way of RNAcentral. Lineage: Eukaryota; Metazoa; Chordata; Mammalia; Artiodactyla; Bovidae.